RNAcentral lists this ribosomal RNA (134 nucleotides) under Propithecus coquereli (Coquerel's sifaka). Lineage: Eukaryota; Metazoa; Chordata; Mammalia; Primates; Indriidae. The record is from RNAcentral.
AUCUAUAGCCAUACCACCCUGAAUGUGCCUGAUCUUGGAAGCUAAGCAGGGUCGGGCCUUGUUAGUACUUGGCUGGGAGAAGACUACUGAACCCAAAAAUUGCUGAUCCACAGAAUCAUAAGAAAUUAUUGUUU